GGGGGUGCGGCUCUUCCCCCCAGAGCCGUACCGGGCAGUGGCCCCCGCUACCCCCCCGGCGGGGGCCACUCCUU
RNAcentral lists this non-coding RNA (74 nucleotides) under Acidothermus cellulolyticus 11B. RNAcentral's name for it is "6C.2008-01-16 RNA". It matches the Rfam family "6C RNA". The record is from RNAcentral. Lineage: Bacteria; Bacillati; Actinomycetota; Actinomycetes; Acidothermales; Acidothermaceae.